Molecule: ribosomal RNA, 498 nt
Filed under: uncultured bacterium
Lineage: Bacteria
Description: partial 16S ribosomal RNA
Rfam family: Bacterial small subunit ribosomal RNA
Source: RNAcentral
GACGAACGCUGGCGGCGUGCCUAAUACAUGCAAGUCGAACGAGAGCGACCGGUGCUUGCACUGGUCAAUCUAGUGGCGAACGGGUGAGUAACACGUGGGUAACCCGCCCAUCAGAGGGGGAUAACAUCCGGAAACGGACGCUAAAACCGCAGAGGCUCUCGAGCCGCAUGGCUGGAAGGGGAAAAGAGGCGCAAGCUUAUGCUGAUGGAGGGACCCGCGGUGCAUUAGCUAGUUGGUGGGGUAACGGCUUACCAAGGCCGUUAGGCACAGCCGACCUGUGGGGGUGAUCGGCCACCUUGGGGCUGAGACGCCGCCCAUACGCCUGCGGGAGGCACCAGUCGGGAAUCUUCCGCAAUGGACGCAAAUCUUACGGAGCAACGCCGCGUGAGUUAAGAAGGUUCUCGGAUCGUAAUACUCUGUUGUUAGUGGUGAACAAGUGCUGGAGUAACUGUUAGCGCCUUGACGGUAUCUAACCAGAAAGCCACGGCUAACUACGUG